This 44-nucleotide unclassified non-coding RNA is filed under the name Leishmania tarentolae. RNAcentral describes it as "guide RNA". The record is from RNAcentral. Lineage: Eukaryota; Euglenozoa; Kinetoplastea; Trypanosomatida; Trypanosomatidae.
UAAAUAACAUCCAGCAAAACGCCAAUGUGGUUAAAGUGAAAAAU